RNAcentral lists this non-coding RNA (30 nucleotides) under Homo sapiens (human). The record is from RNAcentral. Lineage: Eukaryota; Metazoa; Chordata; Mammalia; Primates; Hominidae.
UCCAUCGGGUGGAAGGCACCUAGGGGCUAA